AAGGGGCUUCGGCCCUGAGUAGAGUGGCGAACGGGUGAGUAACACGUGGGUGACCUACCCUCGAGUGGGGGAUAACAUCCCGAAAGGGGUGCUAAUACCGCAUGACAUCCUGUCUUUGAACAGAUAGACAUUAAAGCUGGGGAUCGCAAGACCUGGCGCUCGAGGAGGGGCUCGCGCCCGAUUAGCUAGUUGAUGAGGUAAUGGCUCACCAAGGCUACGAUCGGUAUCCGGCCUGAGAGGGCGGACGGACACACUGGGACUGAGACACGGCCCAGACUCCUACGGGAGGCAGCAGUGGGGAAUUGUUCGCAAUGGGCGAAAGCCUGACGACGCAACGCCGCGUGGAGGAUGAAGAUCUUCGGG
RNAcentral lists this ribosomal RNA (363 nucleotides) under uncultured bacterium. RNAcentral describes it as "bacterial SSU rRNA". It matches the Rfam family "Bacterial small subunit ribosomal RNA", at positions 72 to 422 of the family's 1533-position model. The record is from RNAcentral.